GUCGGUGUAGCUCAAAGGUAGAGCAGGCGUCUGUUAAACGCUCGAUGGUGGUUCGAUUCCACCCUCCGACG
This 71-nucleotide transfer RNA is filed under the name Minicystis rosea. Its description in RNAcentral is "tRNA-Asn". It matches the Rfam family "tRNA". Rfam says of the family: Transfer RNA (tRNA) molecules are approximately 80 nucleotides in length. Their secondary structure includes four short double-helical elements and three loops (D, anti-codon, and T loops). The record is from RNAcentral. Lineage: Bacteria; Pseudomonadati; Myxococcota; Polyangiales; Polyangiaceae.